UUGACUGGUUUCUUGCUUGCCGCAAGGGGGGGACUCGGAGAGGCUCAGGCGCGCUGCUGGUUUCGGCCGGGGUACCGCCGGCGGGUCCCGGGUGGCUCCGCCCUGGAGCCGCCCGCCGAGGCACGUUGCUUGGUAGGUUCGCGAUGGUUGGGAGCGGUCUGGCUCGGCAAUGAUCCCUCCGCUGGUUCACCAACGGAGA
Molecule: unclassified non-coding RNA, 199 nt
Filed under: uncultured fungus
Lineage: Eukaryota; Fungi
Description: sequence contains ITS1
Source: RNAcentral